Molecule: long non-coding RNA, 335 nt
Filed under: Zostera marina
Lineage: Eukaryota; Viridiplantae; Streptophyta; Magnoliopsida; Alismatales; Zosteraceae
Description: long non-coding RNA (ZMAR_LNC003092)
Source: RNAcentral
GUGAAUCUGAGCUUGAUGGCGGAUGAUGUGAUCGCUGUCACCAAGAUAACCCAGGCUCUGAAAGCUCACCACCUGCCCCGUGGCGUGCCUUUUGUCCUCUGCCAGCGUGAGGACUUCACGUUUGAAGAUGUUGUGGAGGUUCAGAAACCUCCCACAGAUGAAGAGAUGGCGAGCGGAAAGAAGCGAACGCUUUUAUAUUUCGAUGCUGCCGCUCCGCACAUGGCCGCGAGAUAUCGACGUGCGAAGCUGAUUAGACUGGAAAAGAAGGCCAAAGCUCCCAAGGCCCCGAGCACGUUUGAGAGGGGCUCAAGCUCUCGAGCCGCACCUGAGCGGGC